RNAcentral lists this ribosomal RNA (429 nucleotides) under Bacteroidota bacterium. RNAcentral's name for it is "Bacteroidetes bacterium partial 16S ribosomal RNA". It matches the Rfam family "Bacterial small subunit ribosomal RNA", at positions 355 to 776 of the family's 1533-position model. The record is from RNAcentral. Lineage: Bacteria; Pseudomonadati; Bacteroidota.
UAGGGAAUCUUCGGCAAUGGGGGGAACCCUGACCGAGCAACGCCGCGUGAGUGAAGAAGGUUUUCGGAUCGUAAAGCUCUGUUGUUAAGGAAGAACGAGUGUGAGAAUGGAAAGUUCAUACUGUGACGGUACUUAACCAGAAAGGGACGGCUAACUACGUGCCAGCAGCCGCGGUAAUACGUAGGUCCCGAGCGUUGUCCGGAUUUAUUGGGCGUAAAGCGAGCGGAGGCGGUUAGAUAAGUCUGAAGUUAAAGGCAGUGGCUCAACCAUUGUAGGCUUUGGAAACUGUUUAACUUGAGUGCAGAAGGGGAGAGUGGAAUUCCAUGUGUAGCGGUGAAAUGCGUAGAUAUAUGGAGGAACACCGGUGGAGAAAGCGGCUCUCUGGUCUGUAACUGACGCUGAGGCUAGAAAGCGUGGGUAGCAAACAGG